Anguilla rostrata (American eel) is the source of this 1970-nucleotide RNA transcript. It is a transcript of the gene named impact RWD domain protein, with no coding region annotated. The transcript has 12 exons. The record is from RefSeq and is a predicted model, not a curated record. NCBI's taxonomy places the organism in Eukaryota, Metazoa, Chordata, Actinopteri, Anguilliformes, Anguillidae.
CGCUGUCGGACAAUGCGUCCGGCCGUGCGCUCUUAAUCGAAUUUACACGUGGAACUUUAUUUUUUUGUCUUUUUUUUUUUAUUUUUUUCAUACAAACUAAAAGGAAAAUCAAUUAUCCUAAGCGACUCAUCUCCCGAAUUGACGUCAGGUCAGACAGCAUGCAAUGCAAUUCUCUCUUGGUUGGAUCGCGUGAACCAUUGAAAACGCGUUGCCACCGUAUCUAUAAAAUAUUUACUUUUUAAACUUUAGUAUUUAGCUGGCCAGUGAUGAAUGGCUACCACUGCAGAGAAUGUUGGAGAUAUUCAGGCUCAGAUUGAUGAGAUUGAAGCGCUUUCUUCUAUCUAUGGGGACGACUGGUGCGUGAUUGACGAAGCAUCGAGAAUAUUCUGUAUUAAGAUCUCAGAUGACACCGAUCUGUCAAAAUGGACCAUAUGUUUGCAGGUAAUUCUUCCCCACGAUUACCCAAGUGAAGCACCGCCCAUUUACCAACUUAAUGCUACAUGGCUGAGAGGAUCAAAGAGAACAGAGCUGUCCAACAGCCUUGAAGAGAUAUAUGUGCAAAACGCUGGCGAAAGCAUCCUCUACCUAUGGAUAGAGAGGAUCCGUGAGUUCCUCCUGGAGAAGUCCCAACUGAAUGACUCAGAAACCCCUGAACCGCAGAAAGUGUCGGAGGAGGUGGAGGUAGACGAUGGCAGAAGCUGGACCGCUGAGAGUGAUUUCCCUGACCUUCGUGCCCUGAGACUAAACACAGAGGCUGCACAUCUUCUGUCUGAGCUGUCUGGAGACGAGGAGCUGCCUCCAGUUAAGCACGGGGAACCAAUCACGGACAGACGCAGCACGUUCCAGCCCCACCUCGCUCCCGUCGUCACACCCAGACAGGUCAAAAUGGUUCUAGACAAACUCUACGAGAAUAAGAAGAUAGCGAAUGCCACUCACAACAUUUAUGCAUACAGGAUAUACUGUGAGGACAGACAGACCUUCCUGCAGGACUGUGAGGACGACGGCGAGACGGCCGCCGGUGGGAGGCUUCUUCACCUCUUACAGAUCCUGGAUGUUCGAAACGUGAUGGUGGUGGUGUCCAGGUGGUAUGGUGGGAUCCUGCUUGGACCAGAUCGUUUCAAGCACAUCAACAACUGUGCGAGGCACAUCCUGGUUCAGGAGAACUACAUAGAUUCAGUGCUGUUUUGAGGAACAAGUACAUACUUUUCCUCCGACAUCUUCCUUGUGGCCGGACCCAAGUGGAAGACCUGUGCACAUCAAAGUCAUCUUGCCUGGAACCCUGUCACGACCCUGACUUCAAUGAAGAAGUCCACACGCAUCUGCUGUGACCUUAGACCAGCUGAAGAGCUGACACAACACCUAACAAAAUGAAGGCCUGGCCUCCCCUGUAUUGCCGAGACAUGUGAUGUCAUUAUGUGGGUCUGCCAGAGAGAGGAUGCAUGCCAACCUGGCAACCAGACUGAGGGAUGCCUGUUGUUGAGGAUGCUAGGACCGUCGCGAAGCAGUGUUAUUAGAAAGAUGCUGGACUAUGUAUUGAUUAUAAGCAUCUUUUUAUGUUAGUCUACAGUUUGGAGUUGAGUCUACUGCCUACAGUCAACGCUGUCUGCAGUCUGCUCAUCUUGACAACAUCAUCUUAGCUUACGAACUUUACUAUAACAUAAAAGCUUUUUUUACAAGCUUUUUUUACAAAAGCUUGUAAAAACGCCACUUAUAGCCUGUGUGUUACCUAGUUAUAGAAAGUUAUUCUAAAUAAGAGUAUACCUUGUGAAGACAAUCAAUGGUCACCCCAAUUUCUACUUUGGAACAUCUGCAAAGAAUUGGAGGUUUGGAAGAAAGGACCAUUUUCAACUCUGCGGUGGGCUACAUCUACCUGCCCGGUGAGCCUGUAUAUAUGCUUAGAACAUCUUUAGGACAUAUCGAUCGAACUCCCUGCUUCGUUGUAUAAUAAACUGCUUCUGUUUUAUAUAUCA